CAACGAGAAAACUUUUGUAGGCGCGAACUAGUUUCUUUUCAGGUUUUAAAUCUAAAUACUACACAAGUUAUGCCAUGCCAAUCUUCUAUAUAUUUAUGAUUAUAUUAAAAACAAUGUAUCUUCAUGGCACUUUAAAGUGAAACUGCUGACUACGAUUGUUCAGUGGCCAAGUGCUUUCCAAGCUGCAAAGCCGAAUCAAACAAGGAGCUGCAUUGCCCGGUUUGAUAUACACCAUUUGAUAUGGAAUACAAGAUGAAAGUUACACACAAGUGAAUCGAUUCAAGAAAUCAAAGAAUCAUACACUAGAUUAACUGGAAAAACUUGUUGCGAAAAAUAAAGUAUUAUAAAUGAUAUCUGAAUUUAAUUUUUGAUAAUAAAAUACAUUUUUAGUUACCUUA
Cydia pomonella (codling moth) is the source of this 398-nucleotide long non-coding RNA. RefSeq lists it as uncharacterized. The transcript is spliced from 2 exons. Lineage: Eukaryota; Metazoa; Arthropoda; Insecta; Lepidoptera; Tortricidae. The record is from RefSeq and is a predicted model, not a curated record.